This 19-nucleotide small nuclear RNA is filed under the name Arabidopsis thaliana (thale cress). Its description in RNAcentral is "snRNA_01986". The record is from RNAcentral. Lineage: Eukaryota; Viridiplantae; Streptophyta; Magnoliopsida; Brassicales; Brassicaceae.
GGCCCGGUCACUGGCGACC